ACAAAGAAAAACCUAACAAGUAUUCUCUCUUCAAUUUUAGGGUUUUACAAAAUCACGCAAAAAAAACCCUAAUCUGGAAAAAAAGUGGGAGGAAAGUGCCCGCACAGAAGGGUACAGAAAAGGAGAUACUCUCACAAGCAAUUUCGUCGCUCUAAAUUCCUCAUUAAAGAUAUCCUUUUUCUUGCUUUUCCAUUGUUUAUAUAUUUUGUCCUCAAUUUCUCUCCUUUAUUUACUUUUAUAGAGUUCAAUUUUCGAAUUUUUUGGUAUUUUCUUGACUCUGUAAAAGUUCACGUGACGAUGCUGUUUAUGAUGAGCUUCAAAAACCAGACGUGGAGAUUAAGUCCUUGCCUGUUGAUGAAGAUCUUCCUGGGAUGGGCCAAUUCUACUGCUUACACU
Molecule: long non-coding RNA, 396 nt
Filed under: Panax ginseng (ginseng)
Lineage: Eukaryota; Viridiplantae; Streptophyta; Magnoliopsida; Apiales; Araliaceae
Description: long non-coding RNA (PGIN_LNC018235)
Source: RNAcentral